This 1764-nucleotide ribosomal RNA is filed under the name Triticum aestivum (bread wheat). RNAcentral describes it as "partial small subunit ribosomal RNA". The record is from RNAcentral. Lineage: Eukaryota; Viridiplantae; Streptophyta; Magnoliopsida; Poales; Poaceae.
AUGAAACGCUACAGGAAAGGGCCGAAACGCCGCUCCUCGUCCCGUCUGCCUCCCGGAUUCCAGAUCGAGCUCGCUCGGUUCCGCUCCGCCGUCCGCACCUCGCACAAUGGCCUCCAGCUCGAGAUCUACUCCCGGCUUGGGUGCAGACGAGCACGGCCCAUCCACGGUUUGACCGCCUCACUCCACCGAUCUGCUGUUCUGCCUCACUCCGCCGCCUUCUUCCCUGCCGCAGUAAGUACUCAAAUCAGCGGCGACGGAACACACUCGCGAGGCGCACGUAGCUCGACGCCGCCGCUGGAACCUCCGUGGGUAAAUACAGAGCCUUCCACCUGUAUUUUACUUUCUUGUAUUCUUGAUUUGAGCUGCUCUGAAGGAGUUAGCCGUGGAGGAGGACUGAAGCUUGCCGCGUCUUUUCAGUUGACUGGACUCAGACAGCGCACGAUGCCGGACAGGAAAGGCGACACCCAGCUCGAGGACCUGCCCGAGGAGAUCAUGGACAUGAUACUCAUCCGGCUGCCGUCCAAGGACGUCGGCCGUUGCCGUGCUGUCAGCACGUCGUGGCGCAGUGCCACCUCUACGCCUAAAUUCAUGCUCGAACACCACCGCCGCCAGCGGUCGCUCCCCAUCAUCGACGGGGAUUAUGGGCCUGCCAGACUUGUUGUCUUCCGUGAUGCUGGUGCUGGUGCCUCCAGUCAACAGCUCUGGCCCUUCCUCCCGGGUGCCAAACACCGUUCUGGGAAUAGGCUCCAAGUCGCCUCUGAUGGCUUCAUCAUCAUCGCCAGUAAUACCCGGUGCCAAUUACGAUUCUACAUCUGCAACCCGACCAUCCAACAGCAUGCUCUCCUACCACAGCCUCAGUUGGGGAAAGAUAUCUGCAACAGCAUAAUCGGCCUCUACCAGCAUCAUCCAACCAGAGAAUAUAGGGUGCUAUGGGUCUCACAGGACUUGUCUGAAGACUCGGUAAACUUUUCUGAAGACUCGGAAAAUUUGGCUGAAGACUCGGAAAACUUGUCUGAAGCCUUGCUGUACGUCCUCACAGUGGGAUCCUAUGAACCGAGGCACGUCAGAGUCAGAAUACCAACAGUCUCGUGUCCUUCCGUGGAACAAAAGUUACUGAGUGGGCUGUCCUAUCGGUAUUAUUCUCCACCUCCACUACCAGCCCACCAUCAUGGCUGCCUGCACUGGUUUACUUAUGAUGACAGCAACAUUACGGGAGGUGCCAGAGACAUUAUUGUGUUCGACACAGAAGCCGAGUCUUUCCGGUGGAUGAACAGUCCUGUUAGUCCUGCGCGGAAUCUCUCCCAGUCGCUCUAUGAUAGAAGGUUGUUCGACAUGAAGGGGACGCUUGCUUUCUGUGGCGGCUCGCCCAGUUCCACCGCUAUAGAUGUUUGGGUGAUGCAGGACUAUGAGGCUGAAAUCUGGGUAUUCAAGUACCGGAUUGACGUGUCAACGGUGGAAGCAUCACGACAACUUUAUUUAACUUCUUUCAAAAGGAAAAGGAAAACACCGCUUGAUUUAACAGUGAAACAGUUCAAUGAGAUGGCUGUGCUCAAUGAGCGUGAGCUGCUGAUCAGGUUCAAUAAUAGAAUACAUGUGUUGCGCUGCGACAUUGAUGGCAAGUUCUUAGGUAUCGCGAACAUCGGGAAGAGUCAAUAUCAAAUGUUGCUUACUCACCAGCACCUCCAGGAGAGCAUUAUUCCAAUUCCAUCCCAUGAGAUGCGAGAAGAAGAUGAGGAGCCUUCAUUAUUCACAAGGCUUGUCUGA